This 6179-nucleotide long non-coding RNA is filed under the name Sus scrofa (pig). RNAcentral's name for it is "lncRNA (ENSSSCG00000055735.1)". The record is from RNAcentral. Lineage: Eukaryota; Metazoa; Chordata; Mammalia; Artiodactyla; Suidae.
CCCAUGCACCAGGAGACUGUGCCUGACUUGCCUGCCUGGCUGUCCCUGCUCUGUCCUGGGAAGGAGACUGCUGUGCAAAUAGAAUGAUUUGUGCCACUGGGGACCUAAAGGCUCUGCUCAAACCACCCUGAAAGGGUCAGACUCAGAGACAAAUAGUACAGCUUGGAUGUAGCCUGUGGUGAGUGGAGAGCCAGCAGGAGCAGGGAGACAAGCUCGCAGCAGAGUGCUGAGGUCCAUGGAGCGGGACAGGGCAAGCACAAAACCUGAGCUGAGAGCCUUCUGGAGAAGACCCUGUCGGCCCCCCAUCUCUUCCCAGUUGGCUGACUGAGUCCUGGAGGGAGCACCAGCAAAGAAUGCCCUUCCUCUGGUCAGAGUGGUAGGAUUUAGGGUUUGGCUUCUGGUGUGAUAUGCAGACACAUGUAGCGACUGCAUCAUUUUUGACCCUUGUAUUCUCUAGCACUUAGGAUGGUUUCUUAUAAAUACAUGAUAGAUUCGAUUAUUUGUAAAACUUACAGAUGUGGCUGAAGCCUAAUAUAUACCUGGCAUUAUUCUAGGUACUGGGACAAAAAUGGUCAGCAGAAACAUAGUACUUGGCCUCGUGGGUAAAUGUCUAUUAAACUAGAAUUCGAGCAAAUAGAUGUUAUUUCAAAAAGUUUAUUUUGAAAUAUAAUAACCCAAGUUUCACUUUUUAAAUAGGUGCGUAAACAUAUGGAGGGGCAAGCAGUUCUAAAACAAAAUAACCUAACAGGUUUACAAAUGAUCCUUCAGAGAUAUUGAUAUAUAAAUUGAUACUUUGGAAUGUACAUGAAUUUUUUCAAGUCACUAGGCUAAGUGACUUGCUUUGGAACCCUAAAUUGUUCAUUAGCAUGUGGGGGAGAUGCAUGUUUUGUAUGCAACACAACUUACUUGGAAUUGUACUCCUUGGUCUUUUUUUGACCUGACAAGGAAGCAUAAAGUGAAGAUUGAUAAUUACUUUGAACUGGAUUCUUUAAUAAUUAUUAUUCCUCUCUUAAUGUACUCAGGAUACUAUGCUUAGUCUUAAGAAUGAAAAAAAAAUCUUUCCUCCGCACUGCCGACAGAUCAGAAUCUUGAUCUGCAGUGUUCAGCCUGGAUGGGAGCAGGGGAAGUGCACUGCUGGGAAACGGGAUUGUCCAAACAGCUGGAAAUAGACUAGGUACUUGCAAGCACUCAUUCAUGCAUGGUGAAUCUAUCCAAAGUAUUCCUAUCCAUUUCUCACUUGAGUCCUGUUAUUUUGAAAAAUCCUAAGAGAUGAAUUUUCUAUAAUUAUAAUUACAAAAUGAACAAAAACCACCUCUUUUCAAAAGUCUUAUUCCCUCCUGAAGUGAGUUUAAUCAUGAAAAUGACUACAGUGCGUGGCAUUUCAUAUUUUCCAAAGAUUAGUCACACAUUUCAUUUUUAUAGCAACCCCUGAGCCUAGUAGUGUUAUCUUCAUUUUGUAGGUAACAGAACUGGCUGAAGAUAUUAGGUAAUUUGUCCAUUUUGACUAAGACGUAAUAAGAAAUUGGUCAGUAAUCAGAAAACAAGCAUAAAAACCACUUAUUUUUCUCCCACUUUCAGCAAAAUGUGAUACUUCUAGCUGUUUAGGGGAGAUGCUUGUAAUACGCAUGGCAUGACCUCUGUCCACAGUGACCCUUGUCUUGAGAUAAAUAAACCAUUGAUGUAAAAGACAUAGGUCAUUAUAUUAAAAGUGCAGAAUAAUAGAGGGCAAGUGACCGAUACAGUCUGAGGACCUAUGGAGUAGUGCCAUAGCUCGGAGAUGUGAAUGCUAUUAAUACUGGGGACAUUGCUUUCUUGGUGUGCAAGGGAGGUGUUGGGUGACUGACUACCUUUAAGUCACUAGAAGUUUAUCAUAAAAUAAUAGCACAGAAACCAGUAAACAACACUGAGUACUUCUGAGUCGUAGAAGGGUUUCACAGAGAAGCAGUGUGCUUCAUAAUUUCCAAUAUGAAAAUCCACCUAAACAUUUUCCAUAUGAAAAAUCCAUAUCAGUAUUUAUCAAUAAGUAUGAGAAAUUUUUAAACACAUAAGCUCUUAAGACAGCACCUUUCUCAGUCGAAGUUUUUAAGCCAAGGUAGAAAAAUGGACUCUCUUCCCAGAUCUUUCUCUCUUCUCUCAGGGUGCUUAGAAUAUAUUGCAAAAGAGUGCAUACUCCCUUCAAGGAGAACCUGGAAGAAAGAGAGAAUGCAAUGCCUCACUUCCAUGUAAUGUAAGGUGAUACGUUUUAAAGUAGAGGUUUUAUUUUACAAUAGACCUACAGCAUAUAUUCCCACAGGUUUAACCCUGACCUACACCGAAAGGAUCUGAGAUAUCUACUAAUUAGGUACUAAAGUUUUUGAAGAGAAAAAGAUUUAAAAAGAAAAAAAAAAGUUGCCUACAUCUUUCAAGCCCCAGGGCAGCUACCAUUUAUGCAGACAGUAAUGAGUUAUGCAGGCCAAGGCAUCUCAGCUUGUUCUUAGAGAAAUAAGGGAAGCUUGUUUUGCUAAAAUAAAUUUUUUUCCCCUUCAGAAUUUCUUUCAGCUUCUUCAGUUGAAAGAAAUCUCUAUAAAGAUUUAAACAUGUUUAAAUUUAGACACUCGAUAUGUGACUUUGUUUUUGUAGACAACAGUUUUAUAAACUGAUAUUGCUUAAAAUGUCUAUUAAUUGACUCAUUCUUCAGAUAUAUUGUCUAGAUCUGAGCUGAUAAGCCCCAGGGUAAAAAUUUGUACCAGUAAAGAGGAAUUUCUCUAAGCCAACCUUUGAAACAAUAUUUGCUUGAAUCCUAGAAAUAAAAUAUUUUGGAUGAUGUCAUUGGGUCAGCACUUUUUCAGUUUUUGAAAUUUUAAUGUUUUUAAUGAAAAAUGCUUUUAUGAUUACUCUUAAGAGCUUAUAAUAUUUAACUUUAUUUACAGCCACUAUGCUGUCAUUAAAAAUGCUGAUACCAUGUUAAGUGGAAGUAACAGGGAGCCUGGCUCCAAACUUCCCAUUGAGUUACAUGCAUCACUUAAUUUCACUCAGUUUUCUUCAUUCUUCAGAGAUGUUAAUAAAAGCCCUUCCCUAAAUCAUAAGAUUUGAAAGGCCAGAUGAGAUAGUACUUGUAAAAGAAUUCUCAAAGUGAUGAAGCAUCCAUAUAUAGGUGAUAUAAUUGUGAAACACUCAAUUUAGCUCUUUGUAUUAAUCAGAAUAUGAUACUAUUAAUGCAAUCAGUGAUACUUAGGUAUUUAUUUCAAACGAAAAAUAUAUUUAAGUGUUAUGGAGGUGCCGGGGAACAAGGUGGUAUAGUGCAAAAGACAUAGACUUGAUGUCAGGGAGAAUAUACUUGAAAUCCUUAUUAGGGAAAUGAUCUUGGACAAGCUCUUUAUCUUCUCCAAACCCCAGUUUCCCCAUCUGUAAAAUAGAAAUAGUGGUAUUUAUCUCAUUGGGAAUUUACAUAUUAAUGAGGUUCAGUGUUGGCCAUAGUUAGUACUGAUGACUUACAGGCUAGGUACUUUUAGGAAGGUGAUUAUUACAUGAGUACAGCAGUUAUUUAACCAAUGUUUGAUGAUGUUGUUUCUUUUUUUAAACUAUGUGAUCACCAUGAAGGUCUGAAUGAAUCUGCACUCCUCAGAAUGCCUGAAGUUACCAGACAGCGGCAGUAUUUAGUUUUUAAUUCUCUAAGAAAGAAUGAUUUUAAGGUUGAUGUACCUAGGUGUUAGCUAUGUUUCAAGGUUGUGGGUUUUUUUGUUUUGUUUUGUUUUUAGGGCCACACCUGCAGCUUAUGGAAGUUCCCAGGCUGGGGGUUGAAUUGGAGCUACAGCUGCUGGCCUACAUCACAGCCUCAGCAGCACAGGAUCCAAGCCGGAUCUGCGGCCUACAUCACAGCUCAGGGAAAUGCCAGAACCUUAACCUACCACUGAGCGAGGCCAGGGAUUGAACCCACGACCUCAUGGUUCCUAGUCGGAUUUGUUUCUGCCGCAUCAUGAUGGGAACUCCUGUUUCAAGAUUUAAAAAAAAUCAGAUAUUAAGCUUGACAAAGAGUAUAUGGAAUAAUGGCAAUAUUCUCCUCUAGAUGAACUAAAUAAUUUCCUUUGCCUUAUAUUAAUUUCUACACAGAAUACAUUUUUAGUUUCUAAGCAUUUUAGAAUAAGGGUUUUUAUGUAUUUACUUUUAUGCAGAUGAACAAAAUUAUAAGCUAUUUUUGGUAUAUUUGGUUUAUUUUGGUAUACUUGGUAUAAUAUGUACCAUCAUUAUAAUGGUGGUAGAAUUCUUAAGUAUUUUCAUUGUUUUUUAAUAUUUUGGGCUUUUAAAAAAAUUCUAUUUUUAUACUCCCUAUCUAUAUCUAAGAGUCAAAAAGAAUGUCUAUAUUCGAAACUGUACUUACAUUUUAGAAACAGCAAAACUUACGCAUUUUCUUGAAUGAUAGAAGGAGGCACUUGAGUCCUGGGAGUGUUUUAUUUUUAAAGAAGCUAACUAAAGUUCUAUAGUAGGUUUUAUGAGGCAUAAAAUAAAAAUUCAAUUCAAUUAAAAAAGUUUUUUAAGAAAAAGUUAUUUGGCUAUUGAGAGUGAGUUCUAAUGCACAAGUAUUCCCGUAGUAAUUUUGUAGGGUAGGUGAAUUUUUUAAAAAGAGAAUAUGGAAAAAUAAUCCUUUGAGAAAUCAUUUUAUACAUGCAUCCAAUAUGUCCAUACUAGAUAAUAAAAUAAAAUGAUAUAAGAGGUAAUAAAAAUAGCAAAUAUAAGCUAGAUAGGGUGUUCACUGAAAAUAGAGAAAAGUUUUAGCAUUUAUUUGAGAAUUAUUAUAACAACAGAGGGUUAAAAAUGAAAGGACUUCUCUUAAGUUGGUAAUAAAGAAUAUGAUACCAGAUUGACUUUUCCAGUGGCUUUUAGAGAUGGGUGUCAGAGAGUCAAUGAUUCAAGUCAACAGUGGAGAAUUUGCAUUUUUUUGGUACAUAGCUCUUUCUGAGAAAAGGCGAUAAGAUACUAUCAUGUUGAUACUCUAUGGUAUGAUCUCAUUCCACAGAGAUGCCUCUUGUAGAGAGUAAUUAUUUGUCACUAGAAAUAAGCAGCCCAAGAAGAGGCUUCUGGCUUAAGAGAGUUCUGUGAAUAGACUGUAUCUAAUGGUUUUAAUGGAAAUAAUGGCACCAUCAUCUUGCUGAUCAGAUUCAGGGUAAAUAUCCAGCUUUCAAAAAUUCAGGGGGCACAAGAAGUGUGUUUGGCUAGGUGGCUUGUUCACUUCACUCUUGGUCAAGCAGAAGGGGUUUACUUCCAGCUCUGACUCAGGAGAACCCGUGGGUAGAGAAAGAAAUGAAAAAGUGCAUGGAGAUCUAAGAGAGAAUUAGACUCUUUGCCUUUUCCUAUUUCUCCAUGCUUUUCUUGGUCAGUGUUAAUAUUAGGGGCAUUUUGCUAGAGAACAGAGAUCUUUUCACGUAGCAGACUCUUAAAAAUAUGUCUUGAAUGAAUAUUGCAUGAAAGCAGAUAAUGUGGAAGAACAGUCAGGACUCUGGAUUAUUUUAGUUCUGUUAAAGGGUAAAUUUUAAAAAUUCCCCCACCCUUUCUAUAGUGAAUUGCUGAUGCACUCAUAAAUUUGGCCAUAGAAUUUUGACACUUGGUAUUAAAAUAACAUCAGAUAGUAAAGAGGUAUCUAUGUUAAACUGAGAGGUAUCUAAGUUCAAGUUGAGAACCAUUAAAGGAGUCAAAUAACCUUUUUUAAAAAAAGAAAUGAAUUUUGUUUUAGUGACUAUGCCUAAUUUAGAAAAAUAACUAACACAGAAAGAGCAAAUGGUGCAUAUGUGCUUUCUUAAUCAUUUUAAUUGAGUUUCAAAAUAUUUUAAUUCACUAAUGAAAGGAGACAAGAUGAAAUACUGACAUUAUUUCGGUAGCUAUGAACAGCAGUUUUUCAAUAAAAUUAUUAGAGCAAACUUCAUUUUUAAAAUAGGGUAUUGUUAUAAAAUAAUCUUAGUCUUCCUAUGUCAAACUUGAAACUCAGGUUUGUUUUUAUAAAAAUUCAAGACCUUUAUAUUUUAAAAUUGCAUGAGGUGACUAAGUCGGGUAAAAGGUCUGUUAUUCAUGAUAGAAGGCUUGAGGAAACAAACCUUUUCAUCUAAGUCAUGCUGUAAAAAUAUUUUGAUAUAUGACCUGAUUCAUUUUUUUACCUCAAUUUUCAGAAAUUAAAGAAAUAACAGCAAAGAGAAAAGCUUUUUGAGUAU